Molecule: long non-coding RNA, 124 nt
Filed under: Fukomys damarensis (Damara mole-rat)
Lineage: Eukaryota; Metazoa; Chordata; Mammalia; Rodentia; Bathyergidae
Description: lncRNA (ENSFDAG00000029708.1)
Source: RNAcentral
CACAGAACCUGCUUGCAUCUGACCCUCUACAUAUGCAUGGUGCUGCACUCUGCUCUGGAAACAGCAACAGGAUGGUGACAGAUCACUCUCACUGAGUAUUUUUCACCUUCAUAUGACUCUCGGC